AUUGAACGCUGGCGGCAGGCUUAACACAUGCAAGUCGAGCGGGGUGAUGGUGCUUGCACUAUCACUUAGCGGCGGACGGGUGAGUAAUGCUUAGGAAUCUGCCUAUUAGUGGGGGACAACAUCUCGAAAGGGAUGCUAAUACCGCAUACGUCCUACGGGAGAAAGCAGGGGAUCACUUGUGACCUUGCGCUAAUAGAUGAGCCUAAGUCGGAUUAGCUAGUUGGUGGGGUAAAGGCCUACCAAGGCGACGAUCUGUAGCGGGUCUGAGAGGAUGAUCCGCCAAACUGGGACUGAAUCACGGCCCAGACUCCUACGGGAGGCAGCAGUGGGGAAUAUUGGACAAUGGGGGGAACCCUGAUCCAGCCAUGCCGCGUGUGUGAAGAAGGCCUUAUGGUUGUAAAGCACUUUAAGCGAGGAGGAGGCUCUUUUGGUUAAUACCCAAGAUGAGUGGACGUUACUCGCAGAAUAAGCACCGGCUAACUCUGUGCCAGCCGCCGCAGUAA
This 503-nucleotide ribosomal RNA is filed under the name uncultured bacterium. Its description in RNAcentral is "partial 16S ribosomal RNA". It matches the Rfam family "Bacterial small subunit ribosomal RNA", at positions 30 to 523 of the family's 1533-position model. The record is from RNAcentral.